CUCUUCUUCUUUCUCUUGUUCUUUUUCUUUUUCUUUCUCUUUUUGAGGAACAGAACCAGUAGCAGCCUUACUGGUUUCCCCAGCUUCAGUACUUGAAAUACCCAGAUAAACUUUAAUUUUAAACAAUUCUUCCACAAUUUUAUACAUUAACAUCAAAGUGCCAUCAACUUUAGAAUCAAGAGCAUUCAUAAGAACAGUUUGAAAACCUCUAAAUUUCUGUAGCUCUCCAAAUUCAAUUUCAACAAAUUCCCUCAAGUUGUUCAUUUCUUCCAAAAUUCCUUCAACAUUAACAGUACCGCUUGCACUUUCCUUGGAACUAGCACCUUGUUCGAAUCUAAGUUUUCUACCAUCAUCAUCUUUUUGCAGACUUGUGAUUGGGAUCAUAUUUGUCCUAAGUUUCUCGGUUUUCAGAGGGAUCCCAAAGUCUCUAAACAGACCAUUAAGAAGAUGGGCAUAGGAUAGCUUGUAAGGUGGUUUCCAUUUCAUGAUUUGCUUCAGCAUAAAGUAGGCAAGAUUAAAUUCAAUCUGAUUCACAAUAUGCCAAAUUAUGCAGAGAUCAAGGGUACUUAAAUAGUUUGGACUGCCAGUUCUAGGGUUCAACACAUAGAUGAUAAAACUAUGAAGAAUUUUGAUGAGCAUGGAUAAUGCUAGUUUUAUCCUUUACUUUCC
Molecule: unclassified non-coding RNA, 669 nt
Filed under: Hevea brasiliensis (rubber tree)
Lineage: Eukaryota; Viridiplantae; Streptophyta; Magnoliopsida; Malpighiales; Euphorbiaceae
Source: RNAcentral